GAUAAACAACAUGUGUUAUAUGCAUACCACCGGAUGCUACUCAGCAAUAAAAAGAAACAAACUGUUGAUACACACAGUGUAAUUGUAAUAGGUUCACUGCCCCAUGCACAUAACAAGUCAAUGCACUGAGACACCAGGUUGCAGCAGAGAAAGAGUUGUAAUCAUAAGGCUGCUGAACAAGGAGACAGGAGGAAACCUCAAAUCCAUCUUUUUGAGGAGCUUGGAGGUAGGGUUUUUAAGGGUUUCAGAGUGGGCUGAAGUGUGGAGAUUGUUGAUUGGUCGGAGUGCAGGGUGAAGUCAUGGGGCAGGGAGAUGAAGAAACUAUUCUCAGGCUGACUUGGUUCCUCCUUGGGGUCUUUAAUCUGGUUGCUGUCAGCUGUUCUGCUGGAAUUCAGGAUCUGCUUAAACAUUCUUUCUUUCUUUCUUUUUUUUUUUUUUUGAGGAGUAUAUCUUCAUUUAUUUUUAUUUUUAUUUUAUUUUAUUUUAUUUUUUAUUAUACUUUAAGUUUUAGGGUACAUGUGCACAUUGUGCAGGUUAGUUACAUAUGUAUACAUGUGCCAUGCUGGUGUGCUGCACCCACUAAC
This 584-nucleotide long non-coding RNA is filed under the name Homo sapiens (human). RNAcentral's name for it is "HSALNT0017451". Lineage: Eukaryota; Metazoa; Chordata; Mammalia; Primates; Hominidae. The record is from RNAcentral.